RNAcentral lists this long non-coding RNA (787 nucleotides) under Anser brachyrhynchus (Pink-footed goose). Its description in RNAcentral is "lncRNA (ENSABRG00000007301.1)". Lineage: Eukaryota; Metazoa; Chordata; Aves; Anseriformes; Anatidae. The record is from RNAcentral.
AUGCCUUUGGCAUCAGGUAAAAAUGCUGCACUGUUUAGAUACUGCAAAAUUGAGAUUUCACUUGUGAAAUACUUAAGAUCUGAAUGGGAUUUUAUGGAGAAAUGUUUAUGGAGGUGUCAGCUACCCAACACCGCCACCAUGCAGCGAGUGGACACAUCUGAAUUGCUUAACACUGAAAAUGUGCUAGCUCUUCAGAGCUCUAGCAGCCCUCCCCAGAACUGCAGGCAAUUCUACAUUCACUCUAGGCUCUUCUGCUGUGAGAAGUAAGGAGAUUUCAUAGAAACCAUGUCUUAGAGCCCUUUUAAUCAGGUAAUACCACAUUUUACUUGCAGCAUUGAGUGCUUGCUCCCAUAAAUAUUAUUCUUGCUAUUCAAAUACUGCUGUGCUCUUCACACUCCAGAAUCUGGCCCCAUACAAAACUUUUUAGUUUUCUGUUCCUCUUUGCUUCAGGGCCUAACCUCAGAUUCAUAAAAUAUUUGUAACUGUCAGUGUAGUGCAUCCACAGAAACUGCACAGACGCAGAAAGCCUAUCUGAUGUAGUGUUAGCAGGAAGAAUUUUAGAACUGCAAAUACUUAACGGAUUUUUAAGAUACAAAUAUGUAUGUGCACACAUAUAUAAAUACAUACUUUUUUUGUGUAUACUUUGUCUAAUAUAUGAUUUCUUUGAUAAUGGUAUGUCCCAACUGUGUUGUUAGAGAUGAAAAAUGUCUUUAACAAAUUAAGACAAUUUUGGGAAGUUGAUUUACAUUUGUAUAUUUGUGAUACUCAGUCGUAUUUCAUAUUAGAG